GGAAGGGUAUCACGUGAUUUUCGGGAGCCAAUGAAAAAAGCAGGAAUUUUACACUCCGUUAUAGGUAAACAAAAUGGCACGUUCGACGCACCGGGGAGGAUCGUUUAUUUAGGAGGCAUGCACAUAAAUUUGUAAUGUUGCUCAUUUAUUUGUUGACAAAAAGUGCCGAUGGCACCCGAUGGGACCCCUGGAUCUUUAGAGAUAUAGACGCAUGGACUACAAUUUUUAUUUUUGAAAUGCUGUGCACUAUAAAGGGAAUGGAAACAGCUUAUAACCUCAUAAUGGGAUACCGCCUAUGGAUUGUAGCUGAAAUUAGAGACUUGAGAUAACAGGAAUGAUGUUUGUUAUUUCCAAAAUCUGUGCCUUCAUGGAGUGUGACAUUGUAAUAAACAUGAUUGCUUUUUAAUUACUCAGUCAUCAAAUGUUAAAUUAGUAGUUUGUCACAAUAUCAAAUAUUGUAUUAUCUGCAUAGAGAAUUCCCCUCAUCUUUUGUAAGUUAAGUUUUGAUUAAUUAAGUAAAGUGAGUAGUAAGUCUCAUGAACUUGGAGAAAAUUAAAUACUGCAGAUCUUGGAAAAAACUUCGUUUAUUGUGAUUUCUGUCAGAUAUGAGGAUUUGUAAAUGUUGAUAAUACAUUACAUUUUCUGUCUCUUAUUAUAUGCAUUUACCAUGAUUUCUCACUCUGAGUAAUGUACGCAUCUGGCAAACUAACUUGAAAUUCAAGGCAUAUUUUAUAGUUUUAAAAAAAGUGAUAUUAAAAUCUGACCAAGACGAAUUUAAAGUAAUCUGAAUUCUAUCAGGAUUUCAGUCUUGCCUGUGCUAUGUAUGUAUUUGUAGGUUGUCACCCUUUUAAAUCAUUUAA
Lingula anatina is the source of this 860-nucleotide long non-coding RNA. The record is from RefSeq and is a predicted model, not a curated record. NCBI's taxonomy places the organism in Eukaryota, Metazoa, Brachiopoda, Lingulata, Lingulida, Lingulidae.